Molecule: non-coding RNA, 29 nt
Filed under: Mus musculus (house mouse)
Lineage: Eukaryota; Metazoa; Chordata; Mammalia; Rodentia; Muridae
Source: RNAcentral
UNGGCCUGGUGUAGAUGAAAACUCUGCUG